This 662-nucleotide ribosomal RNA is filed under the name uncultured marine eukaryote. RNAcentral describes it as "SSU rRNA". It matches the Rfam family "Eukaryotic small subunit ribosomal RNA", at positions 617 to 1292 of the family's 1831-position model. The record is from RNAcentral.
AGUUAAAAAGCUCGUAGUCGGAUUUCAGUAUUAGGCCCUUCUUCCAAUACGGUUGCUAGUGGUCUUUACUUCCUUAACAGAAUCUUUCAUCUCAUUAAUUUGGGGUGUUUGGGACCUGUUUCUUUUACUUUGAGAAAAUUAGAGUGUUCAAAGCGGGUUUUCGCCUGGAUAUUACUCUUGGAAUAAUAAUAUAGGACUUUGGUUCUUUUUUGUUGGUGACUUAGAACCGAAGUAAUGAUUGAUAGGGACAGUUGGGGUCAUUCGUACUAUGAAGCGAGAGGUGAAAUUCAUGGACCUUUGUAUGACGAACUACUGCGAAAGCAUUUGACUAGGAUGUUCCCGUUGAUCAAGAACGAAAGUUGGGGGAUCGAAGACGAUCAGAUACCGUCGUAGUCUCAACCAUAAACUAUGCCAGCUAGGGAUUGGAGGAAGAUCAUUUUACGUCUCCUUCAGCACCUUAUGAGAAAUCAAAGCAUUUGGGUUCCGGGGGGAGUAUGGUCGCAAGGCUGAAACUUAAAGGAAUUGACGGGAGGGCACCACCAGGAGUGGAGCCUGCGGCUUAAUUUGAUUCAACACGGGAAAACUUACCAGGUCCGGACAUGGGAAGGAUUGACAGAUUGAAAGCUCUUUCUUGAUUCUAUGGGUGGUGGUGCAUGGCCGUU